UACGUAGGGUGCAAGCGUUGUCCGGAAUUAUUGGGCGUAAAGAGCGUGUAGGCGGCCCGAUUAGUCCGCUGUGAAAGUCCAGGGCUCAACCCUGGAAUGCCGGUGGAUGCUGUCGGGCUAGAGUCCGGAAGGGGCGAGUGGAAUUCCUGGUGUAGCGGUGAAAUGCGCAGAUAUCAGGAGGAACACCAAUGGCGAAGGCAGCCUCGCUG
RNAcentral lists this ribosomal RNA (209 nucleotides) under uncultured bacterium. Its description in RNAcentral is "partial 16S ribosomal RNA". It matches the Rfam family "Bacterial small subunit ribosomal RNA", at positions 524 to 731 of the family's 1533-position model. The record is from RNAcentral.